RNAcentral lists this ribosomal RNA (394 nucleotides) under uncultured Flavobacteriaceae bacterium. RNAcentral describes it as "bacterial LSU rRNA". It matches the Rfam family "Bacterial large subunit ribosomal RNA", at positions 1 to 411 of the family's 2925-position model. Lineage: Bacteria; Pseudomonadati; Bacteroidota; Flavobacteriia; Flavobacteriales; Flavobacteriaceae. The record is from RNAcentral.
AAUAAGCUAAUUAAGAGCGUAAGGUGGAUGCCUUGGCUCUCAGAGGCGAUGAAGGACGUGAUAAGCUGCGAUAAGCUACGGGGAUUGGCACACACAAUUUGAUCCGUAGAUUUCCGAAUGGGGAAACCCACUAUAUUGAAGAUAUAGUAUCCGUUAAGGAAGCAAACCCAGGGAACUGAAACAUCUAAGUACCUGGAGGAAUAGAAAACAAAAGUGAUUCCGCUAGUAGUGGCGAGCGAACGCGGAUCAGCCCAAACCAUAUUUGUUACGGCAAAUAGGGGGUUAUAGGACCACGACAUUUAAUGCUUGCAGAACUAGAAUGCAAUGGAAAUUGCGACCAAAGAGGGUGAUAGUCCCGUAUAGGUAAUAAGAGUAAUUGAUAGUGGUAUCCUGA